GACGAACGCUGGCGGCGUGCUUAACACAUGCAAGUCGAACGGAAAGGCCCUGCUUGCAGGGUACUCGAGUUGCGAACGGGUGAGUAACACGUGGGUGAUCUGCCCUGCACUUCGGGAUAAGCCUGGUCAACUGGGUCUAAUACCGGACAGGAGCCAUUUUUAGUGUGAUGGUUGGAAAGUGUUGUCGGUUUAGGAUGAGCUCGCGGCCUAGCGGCUUGUUGGUGGGGUAAUGGACUACCAAGGCGGCGACGGGUAGCCGGACUGAGAGGGUGGACGGCCACACUGGGACUGAGAGGAGGCCCAGACACCUACGGGAGGCAGCAGUGGGGAAUAUUGAACAAUGGGCGCCAGCCUGAUGCAGAGACGCCGCGUGGGGGAUGACGGCCUUAGGGUUGUAAACUCCUUUCGCAAGGGACGAAGCUUUUUGUGACGGUACCUAGAUAAGAAGCCCCGGCUAACUACGUG
RNAcentral lists this ribosomal RNA (465 nucleotides) under uncultured bacterium. RNAcentral describes it as "partial 16S ribosomal RNA". It matches the Rfam family "Bacterial small subunit ribosomal RNA", at positions 28 to 507 of the family's 1533-position model. The record is from RNAcentral.